RNAcentral lists this transfer RNA (72 nucleotides) under Synodus macrops (triplecross lizardfish). RNAcentral describes it as "tRNA-Ile". It matches the Rfam family "tRNA". Rfam says of the family: Transfer RNA (tRNA) molecules are approximately 80 nucleotides in length. Their secondary structure includes four short double-helical elements and three loops (D, anti-codon, and T loops). The record is from RNAcentral. Lineage: Eukaryota; Metazoa; Chordata; Actinopteri; Aulopiformes; Synodontidae.
GGGUCUGUGCCCGAGCUUUAAAGGAUCACCUUGAUAGGGUGACUUACAGGGGUUAAAAUCCCCUCAGGCCCU